RNAcentral lists this ribosomal RNA (497 nucleotides) under uncultured bacterium. RNAcentral's name for it is "partial 16S ribosomal RNA". It matches the Rfam family "Bacterial small subunit ribosomal RNA", at positions 28 to 507 of the family's 1533-position model. The record is from RNAcentral.
GACGAACGCUGGCGGCGUGCCUAAUACAUGCAAGUUCAGCGCUGAAGGUUGGUACUUGUACCAACUGGAUGAGCAGCGAACGGGUGAGUAACGCGUGGGGAAUCUGCCUUUGAGCGGGGGACAACAUUUGGAAACGAAUGCUAAUACCGCAUAAAAACUUUAAACACAAGUUUUAAGUUUGAAAGAUGCAAUUGCAUCACUCAAAGAUGAUCCCGCGUUGUAUUAGCUAGUUGGUGAGGUAAAGGCUCACCAAGGCGAUGAUACAUAGCCGACCUGAGAGGGUGAUCGGCCACAUUGGGACUGAGACACGGCCCAAACUCCUACGGGAGGCAGCAGUAGGGAAUCUUCGGCAAUGGACGAAAGUCUGACCGAGCAACGCCGCGUGAGUGAAGAAGGUUUUCGGAUCGUAAAACUCGGUUGGUAGAGAAGAACGUUGGUGAGAGUGGAAAGCUCAUCAAGUGACGGUAACUACCCAGAAAGGGACGGCUAACUACGUG